Molecule: ribosomal RNA, 301 nt
Filed under: uncultured bacterium
Lineage: Bacteria
Description: partial 16S ribosomal RNA
Rfam family: Bacterial small subunit ribosomal RNA
Source: RNAcentral
CAGCCGCCGCGGUAAUACGUAGGGUGCGAGCGUUAAUCGGAAUUACUGGGCGUAAAGCGUGCGCAGGCGGUUGUGUAAGACAGGUGUGAAAUCCCCGGGCUUAACCUGGGAACUGCGCUUGUGACUGCACAGCUAGAGUAUGGCAGAGGGGGGUGGAAUUCCACGUGUAGCAGUGAAAUGCGUAGAGAUGUGGAGGAACACCGAUGGCGAAGGCAGCCCCCUGGGCCAAUACUGACGCUCAUGCACGAAAGCGUGGGGAGCAAACAGGAUUAGAGACCCGCGUAGUCCCUGUCUCUUAUAC